AACGAACGCUGGCGGCAGGCCUAACACAUGCAAGUCGAACGGACGUAGCAAUACGUUAGUGGCGCACGGGAGAGUAACGCGUGGGAACCUACCUUUUGGUUCGGGAUAACAUCGGGAAACUGGUGCUAAUACCGGAUAAGCCCUUCGGGGGAAAGAUUUAUUGCCGAAAGAUGGGCCCGCGUUGGAUUAGCUAGUUGGUGAGGUAAUGGCUCACCAAGGCAACGAUCCAUAGCUGGUCUGAGAGGAUGAUCAGCCUCACUGGGACUGGGACACGGCCCAGACUCCUACGGGAGGCAGCAGUGGGGAAUAUUGGACAAUGGGGGAAACCCUGAUCCAGCCAUGCCGCGUGAAUGAUGAAGGCCUUCGGGUUGUAAAGUUCUUUUGGUGGGGACGAUGAUGACGGUACCCACAGAAUAAGCUCCGGCUAACUUCGUGCCAGCAGCCGCCGUAA
Molecule: ribosomal RNA, 451 nt
Filed under: uncultured bacterium
Lineage: Bacteria
Description: partial 16S ribosomal RNA
Rfam family: Bacterial small subunit ribosomal RNA
Source: RNAcentral